This 363-nucleotide ribosomal RNA is filed under the name Voeltzkowia mobydick. Its description in RNAcentral is "partial 12S ribosomal RNA". It matches the Rfam family "Bacterial small subunit ribosomal RNA", at positions 859 to 1392 of the family's 1533-position model. Lineage: Eukaryota; Metazoa; Chordata; Lepidosauria; Squamata; Scincidae. The record is from RNAcentral.
ACAAUAUUGUCCGCCAGAGAACUACAAGCGAAAAACUAGAAACUCCAAGGACUUGGCGGUGCCCCACAUCAACCUAGAGGAGCCUGUCCUAUAAUCGAUACCCCACGUUAAACCUUACCAUCUUUAGCCCUCAGCCUAUAUACCGCCGUCGUCAGCCUACCCCGUGAGAGAAAAAUAGUAGGCAAGACAGUUAUCAACUAACACGUCAGGUCAAGGUGUAGCACACAAGAUGGAAGAGAUGGGCUACAUUGUCUACCACAGAACACACGAAUGACACAAUGAAACAUGUGCCUAAAGGUGGAUUUAGUAGUAAGAUAAACAAGAAAUGUUAUCUUAAACCCGCUCUGGGGCGCGCACACACCG